GACCAAGGGAUAGCUCGGUUGGUAGAGCAUGAGACUCUUAAUCUCAAGGACAUAGGUUUGAGCCCCACACUGGGCA
Molecule: transfer RNA, 76 nt
Filed under: Podarcis lilfordi (Lilford's wall lizard)
Lineage: Eukaryota; Metazoa; Chordata; Lepidosauria; Squamata; Lacertidae
Description: tRNA.Lys
Rfam family: tRNA (bases 11-68)
About the family: Transfer RNA (tRNA) molecules are approximately 80 nucleotides in length. Their secondary structure includes four short double-helical elements and three loops (D, anti-codon, and T loops).
Source: RNAcentral